AUGCAGCAGGGAAGCCGCCUCUCCUGGUCGGAUUUGCAGAGCCUGGCGCGCCGGAAGCCGGCGGCCUCCGCGGCAGCGGCGGAUGGCCGACGCCUCGCUAAGACGCUCUCCGUUCCCCACCUCACGGCCAUUGGUGUUGGCUCGACGAUCGGCGCCGGCAUCUAUGUCCUGGUAGGAACUGUGGCUCGUGAGCAUGCUGGACCAGCCUUGACACUUUCCUUUCUAAUUGCUGGCAUUGCUGCUGCUCUUUCUGCCUUGUGUUAUGCCGAGCUUUCUUGCCGCUUCCCUUCAGCAGGAAGUGCUUAUCACUAUUCCUACAUUUGCAUUGGAGAGAGUGUCGCUUGGUUGAUUGGUUGGGCUUUGAUUCUCGAGUACACAAUUGGUGGAUCAUCAGUGGCACGUGGCAUCUCACCAAACUUGGCUCUGUUUUUUGGUGGCCAAGACAAGUUGCCCUUCUUCUUAGCACAAGUACAUGUUAAAUGGCUUGACACCCCAGUUGAUCCUUGUGCUGCCAUUCUUGUCCUCAUAGUCACUGCAUUACUCUGUCUGGGAAUUAAGGAGAGCUCACUUGUGGAAGGCGUCAUCACCAUUGCAAAUGUCGCAAUUAUGCUGUUUAUCAUUUGUGCCGGUGGAUGGUUAGGAUUCCAGAAUGGCUGGCCUGGUUAUGAUGUUCCGAAAGGUUACUUCCCGAAUGGUGCAAGUGGAGUUUUUUCUGGAUCAGCAACCCUCUUCUUUGCUUACAUUGGCUUUGAUGCAGUUGCCAGUACAGCUGAAGAGGUGAAGAAUCCUCAACGUGAUCUUCCAUGGGGAAUGUGUUUGACCUUGUCAUUGUGCUGCUUCCUCUACAUGAUGGUUUCUGUUGUUAUUGUCGGUCUGGUGCCAUAUUAUGCAAUGGAUCCUGACACCCCUAUUUCAUCUGCAUUUGCUCAAUAUGGAAUGCAAUGGGCAGCGUAUGUCAUUUCCAGUGGGGCUGUUCUUGCUCUCAUAGCAUCACUGAUUGGCGCUAUUCUCCCUCAGCCAAGAAUUGUCAUGGCCAUGGCAAGAGAUGGACUACUUCCCCCAAUAUUCUCAGCUGUUGGUCAACGGACUCAAGUCCCAACAUUGAGCACAAUUCUGACUGGGAUAUGUGCUGCUAUCCUUGCUUUUUUCAUGGAUGUGUCACAAUUGGCCGGGAUGGUAAGCGUGGGCACACUAUUGGCAUUUACAAUGGUUGCGAUUUCUCUUUUAAUAGUAAGAUAUGCUCCUCCAAAUGAUAUGCCAAUGGGAGGCGCUGAUCCAUCCUCAGUUGAAUCACUAGCUUUACACGCUGGGCAUUCAGAGGCAGAUGAGGGAAUUUUGGAGGGUCCUUUUGGCAAUGUUGAUGAAGCACCUACUGCCAGUGAGAUCGCCAAUAUGGUAAGGCGACAAAAAGCUAAAAGAUAUAUAGUGAUGGUUUGCUUUGGGGUCAUCAUCUUUGUGCCAGCGGUUUCUUUCUCCUCUUUGCCAUUUUCCAUACGAUGCACAACAUGUGCCUUAGGUGGCUUGCUCUUGCUCGGUGCUAGCAUUGUACUUUCAUGCAUCGGACAAGACACGUCGUCUUCACGACAAACUGAAGGUUUCAUGUGCCCGUUUGUACCUGUACUUCCAGUAUGCUGCAUCCUCAUCAACGCGUACCUUCUAAUGAACCUUGGGAGUCACACGUGGAUCCGUGUUUCUGUAUGGCUUGUGGCUGGUGCACUAAUAUAUCUCUUCUACGGUCGAAAUCACAGUUCCCUGACAGGAACGGCCUACGAGCGCGUGUCACCUGCAUGA
This 1791-nucleotide ribosomal RNA is filed under the name Triticum aestivum (bread wheat). Its description in RNAcentral is "partial small subunit ribosomal RNA". The record is from RNAcentral. Lineage: Eukaryota; Viridiplantae; Streptophyta; Magnoliopsida; Poales; Poaceae.